RNAcentral lists this non-coding RNA (1588 nucleotides) under Pan troglodytes (chimpanzee). The record is from RNAcentral. Lineage: Eukaryota; Metazoa; Chordata; Mammalia; Primates; Hominidae.
AGAACUAUAAACUGACUACACAGCUCCCUGGCCCGGGAAGGCUAUGAAACAGGCAACAUGGACAAUUUAAAGGUGUACAACAUCCGAGGUUCCAUUUCACCCUCAGGCAGCACGGAGUGGACAAGAGAUGGGGUCUCACUUUGUCACCCAGGCUGGGCUCAAACUCUUGGCUUCAAGCGAUCUUCUUGCCUUGGUCUCCCAAAGUGCUGGGAUUACAGGCUUGAACUACUGUACUCGACUGACUUUUCCUAUUUCUAAUGUCAGCAUGAAGAACACAAGAAGUCAGCUUCAAAGGCAUCCAGCAAUAUCAUCUAUUCUCCACUUUGCUAAAUCUUACCUUUGGCAGAGCCUUCAUGAACAAGAUUGGUACCCAUAUAAAAGAAGCCCGAGAGAGCUAUCUUGACCCUCCUACCAUGUGAAGACACAACAAGGUACCGUCUUAUGAACCAGGAAAUGGGCCCUCACCAGACACCUAAUCUGCUGGUGACUUGAUCUUGGACUUCCCAGCUUCUAGAACUGUGGGAAUUAAAUUUCUAUUGUUUAUAAGCUACCCAGUUUACACUACUUUGUUAUAGCAGCCCAAAAGCACACCCUGUUUCAAGAUUCUGCAUUCAUUUACUCAUUCGUACAUUCAACCAUAUUUUGUUGGGCACCAAUGAUGCCAGGCACUACUCUAGGUGCUCAGGAUACAAUAAUUAACAAGGCAGACAAUGCCCCUGGCUUCAUGGAGAUAAAUGUGUUGAUGAACAGGAAGUAGAUACAGUGGUCAGAGAAGGCUGGAGGAGAGCACAGUUGACCAGAGAUCUGAUGGAAGUGAGAAAGCAAACUAUGGGAAUAUCUGGAAAAAGAGCAUUCCAGGCAGAGGAAUGAGCAAGUGGCAAAGAUCCUCAAAUGCCUAUACUUCCAUGGAAGAAGGCCAGUGAGUGAGGAAAAGAGAGGUAGCAAAGGGGAUCAGAGAGGAUACAGGGAUCCAGAUCUCAAAGGGACUUGUAGGUAAUGGCCAACACUUUGGACUUCAUGUUUUCAGAGUGAUGGAAAGUCCUUACAGCCUUUCCUAGCCCCUAGCUAAGCCUCUAUUGAUUACUUCUCCUUCUUGUGCUCUUAUCACCUGUACUUUUAUUUACCAGUUAGUCUAUAUUCCAUGGAUUUCUAUUCAUCUCUUGUGUAUCAAUUCUAUGUCCUCAACUAUGUCUCAACGGCAAGAAUCAGUCAUAUCCUCUUCUGUAUUCCCAGGGCCUGGCACCUAACAGAUGCUCAAUAAAUCUUUCCAUAAGGUGAUAAUGAUGAUGUAAUCUCUUAGAAUCUUUUCUAGCUGUUAAGAUCCAUGAUGCCUUUGAACUCUCUCAACAAACUAGUUUGCACAAUGACUCAGAGGACUGACAUCUUUCUAGAUAUUUUGAGAUUAUAUUCAUGCCACUUUUAGAGUCUCCAUCCAUCAAAUGACUAGAAUGAAUUACAUCAGAGUUUUGUUUAAAUGAAGGCUGUGCCACUUGGAAUGGGAUUCCCUUACAUGGAACUACCUACUAAUAUUUGCACUUUAAGCCACCUGAACCUCAGGAGAGUAAUAAAUUGCUAUUAAAUAAAUGCU